AACGAACGCUGGCGGCAUGCCUAACACAUGCAAGUCGAACGAGACCUUCGGGUCUAGUGGCGCACGGGUGCGUAACGCGUGGGAACCUGCCCUUAGGUUCGGAAUAACUCCCCGAAAGGGGUGCUAAUACCGGAUAAUGUCUUCGGACCAAAGAUUUAUCGCCUUUGGAUGGGCCCGCGUUGGAUUAGCUAGUUGGUAGGGUAAAAGCCUACCAAGGCGACGAUCCAUAGCUGGUCUGAGAGGAUGAUCAGCCACACUGGAACUGAGACACGGCCCAGACUCCUACGGGAGGCAGAAGUGGGGAAUAUUGGACAAUGGGCGAAAGCCUGAUCCAGCAAUGCCGCGUGAGUGAUGAAGGCCUUAGGGUUGUAAAGCUCUUUUACCCGGGAUGAUAAUGACAGUACCGGGAGAAUAAGCUCCGGCUAACUCCGUG
RNAcentral lists this ribosomal RNA (433 nucleotides) under uncultured bacterium. RNAcentral describes it as "partial 16S ribosomal RNA". It matches the Rfam family "Bacterial small subunit ribosomal RNA", at positions 29 to 507 of the family's 1533-position model. The record is from RNAcentral.